Small nucleolar RNA from Erpetoichthys calabaricus (reedfish), 127 nucleotides. Ensembl annotates it as small nucleolar RNA SNORA68. The record is from Ensembl. Lineage: Eukaryota; Metazoa; Chordata; Cladistia; Polypteriformes; Polypteridae.
AAUGCACAGAAAACCCAAAGAUCAGUACAUGUGUUGUGAUCUUGCUUACUGUGCAGACAUAAAAAGGUACCUUGUCGCCUUUCACAUGCUUAUGUGCAGCUGAAAGUGAAUUCAAGGUUUGACAUUU